AUGCUCCCGACGAACAAUGCGACCGACAUGCGCCCCGCUAUAAUUAUCGAAUCGAACUUGACCCGCGCGACCCUCACCAGUGCGAGUGUGAACGCCGCCGUCGGCCCACAUCUUGUCGCCGCUACAAUCGAACUGUCUCGAUCGAACACUUCGACGAACGACCCGUCAUCGAUUCAUCGAAAUAUCGACUCUGCGAAAACGAUAAACGCGGCGGCUGACCCCGGUGCUGGACUAAUGGUGAUCUGGUGGCAGCUGUACUCGAAUCCCUGUAGUUUUCAGCCCAAGCCAAUGUUCGUUUUCACCACGACUCUCUUCUUCGCUGUACUUUCGUUCUACUUAAGGAUAACGGAGACGGGCGAAGCAGGAGUGGUCUUCACGUUGGUGGACUCGACGACCGCGGAGCUGCAGAAGCAUGCGAACAUUGUGGCGCCGACCCUGAGGAUCCCGGCGCAGAACGCCUCCCUCUUCAACGGGACCCCCCUGAGCGGGCCGACGUCGAAUGGGUCGCAGGACCACCAGGGCCACCCCGUACAGCGCCCGGUCUACGUCGUUCGCGCCGAGCCCAAAGUCGUCGGCAAACAUGCCGUCCCCGAGGUCCCCGAGCCGGAACCCGAGAGGAACGACACCGGCCCUGCGGUCCCUCCGCCCGUCCCUGACAACCCUCGCCGCCGGCCCCGCCCGCCGGGGACCACGACAACGUCAUCAUCGUCCCCCAGGUGGAGCCCGCCGCGGCCCAGUCCCACGAGGAUAUCCCGUCCUUCAACGAGUGGGCCCAGAAGCAGUUGGCUGAGGCUGAAAAGAAGAAGGUAUGUCUCCGCCUUAUCGGAAAUAAUAUUUUUUAUGCGGUGAGUAGGGUUGCCGGCGGCAGAGGCGGAUCUAGCAAUUUGGCAACAUUGGAUUCCCUCCAUUUAAACCCAUGUUAAAUAAUCGAUUCUCGUCGGAGCACCUGGCCCCCGCCAUGAAUCGAUACAUUUCCAUAGGUUUAAAUGAGGAAAACAAUGUUGCAAAUUUGCUGGAUCCGCGCGCCAAUGCAACGAUAGGCCUUGUCUCCACUGGACGUUUGAUGGGAUUAGUUCCAGGGAAAAAUCCCACUUG
RNAcentral lists this long non-coding RNA (1095 nucleotides) under Bemisia tabaci. Its description in RNAcentral is "lncRNA ENSSSA2NGG008169". The record is from RNAcentral. Lineage: Eukaryota; Metazoa; Arthropoda; Insecta; Hemiptera; Aleyrodidae.